AGACCCGAAACCCGGUGAUCUAGCCAUGGGCAGGUUGAAGGUUGGGUAACACUAACUGGAGGACCGAACCGACUAAUGUUGAAAAAUUAGCGGAUGACCUGUGGCUGGGGGUGAAAGGCCAAUCAAACCGGGAGAUAGCUGGUUCUCCCCGAAAGCUAUUUAGGUAGCGCCUCGUGAAUUCAUCUCCGGGGGUAGAGCACUGUUUCGGCUAGGGGGCCAUCCCGGCUUACCAACCCGAUGCAAACUGCGAAUACCGGAGAAUGUUAUCACGGGAGACACACGGCGGGUGCUAACGUCCGUCGUGAAGAGGGAAACAACCCAGACCGCCAGCUAAGGUCCCAAAGUCAUGGUUAAGUGGGAAACGAUGUGGGAAGGCCCAGACAGCCAGGAUGUUGGCUUAGAAGCAGCCAUCAUUUAAAGAAAGCGUAAUAGCUCACUGGUCGAGUCGGCCUGCGCGGAAGAUGUAACGGGGCUAAACCAUGCACCGAAGCUGCGGCAGCGACACUGUGUGUUGUUGGGUAGGGGAGCGUUCUGUAAGCCUGUGAAGGUGUGUCGUGAGGCAUGCUGGAGGUAUCAGAAGUGCGAAUGCUGACAUAAGUAACGAUAAAGCGGGUGAAAAGCCCGCUCGCCGGAAGACCAAGGGUUCCUGUCCAACGUUAAUCGGGGCAGGGUGAGUCGACCCCUAAGGCGAGGCCGAAAGGCGUAGUCGAUGGGAAACGGGUUAAUAUUCCCGUACUUGGUGUUA
Molecule: ribosomal RNA, 745 nt
Filed under: Salmonella enterica
Lineage: Bacteria; Pseudomonadati; Pseudomonadota; Gammaproteobacteria; Enterobacterales; Enterobacteriaceae
Description: partial 23S ribosomal RNA
Rfam family: Bacterial large subunit ribosomal RNA
Source: RNAcentral